UUUUUUUUUUUUUUUUGUGAUUUCUUAGUUGAGUAUGGCAUGUUGAGUCAGUUUCAAAGAUUUCAUCACAAUUCAUAAGACAUCCUUGGGUCUGCCCUUGAACUUCUUUGCUAAUCUUCAAGCAACCUUAUGGAAAGUCAUGAUGCCAACAGUUUGUAUUUAAGCAACAUUUUCCUGAGAUAAAUUAGUGGUUGGAGCAUAAGUUUUUAGAUUCAUUCUCCAAAUUCAUUCAUAUGCAUAAAUGCCCUUAUACUAUUAAUAUCUGCAACCAAAAUGCUAUGGCAAUCCCCUUAUCCAUCAGUAGGAUUUGUGUUGAGGAGACCUGGGAUAACUUGAUAAUGACUGAUGGGCCAAUAAAAUUUAGGCCUAUUGAAAAGAAUUUUCUGAGGUAACAUUUGACUGAUUAUGCUUUCAGAUCUUGGACUGGGGCUUGGAUCCACCUGUAAAUGAGUUCCUACCCCUUGGAUAUCACCUAAGCUGUGGUUGAAGAAGUGGGAGAGGAAUAGGUCUUAACUUAGAUAUUUUGCAUAGUUUCAAAGAAAAGAAUGAUAAAAUCAUGCAAAAUUUUCAGGCCAUUUAUAUAAAUCAGGAAUAGGUUUUAAUAUGUGUUUCUUAUAUAAUUAAUGCCCUAAACUUUUGCAUCUUUGUUACUUUAUGACAGGUAUGGAACCCUAUGCAUACGUGAGAAUCCAGGGUGUCUCUUUAUUGCUACCAAUCGCGAUGCAGUGGGACAUAUGACUGAUUUACAGGAGUGGCCUGGUAAUGAAGCUAACCUUUCAUGUGAAUUACAUGCUUUCACGGCUUGGCUUUAUAAUAUCUUAUGUGAAUUUAAGGGGCCGGUUGUAUGGUUGCUGCAAUGUGUGGUUCAACUGAGAGAGAGCCUAUUGUAGUUGGAAAACCAUCAACCUUCAUGAUGGAUUUUUUAUUGCAGAAGUAAGUUCUAAUGUUCAUUCUUAUUUGCCCUUAUCUUGUAGAUCAUAUUUGCUAUUUUGCUUAGAUGUAUUGUAUAUUGGAAUCUGGAAUCUCUAAUUGAUUGGAAACCUUGAGGCUCAUCAUCGAGAAUGAGUUGCAGGUUUUAAACUGACAAGGUCAUAUUUUUGACAUUUCAAUAAUAUGUUUUGCUUAGCAGAUUUCAAGUAAGUACCUCCAAAAUGUGUAUGGUUGGUGAUAGACUAGACACUGACAUUUUAUUUGGAAAAAAUGCUGGCUGCAAAACUCUUCUUGUUCUCUCA
RNAcentral lists this unclassified non-coding RNA (1232 nucleotides) under Hevea brasiliensis (rubber tree). Lineage: Eukaryota; Viridiplantae; Streptophyta; Magnoliopsida; Malpighiales; Euphorbiaceae. The record is from RNAcentral.